UUAUCAUAAUCCUUGAGAAAGUUAUAAAGGGUUUCAUGCGCUCUAGCUAUAAGAAGCGCUGUCGUCUUGCAAAAUUCUACUGAAAACGUGCUAAUAGGAGUAAUGCAGAUACUGGAUUUCAAAAAUCCGUUUAAAACUCAAGUUCUCUCAUAAUUUUUCGAUAACUUUUGGAACCCCCAAAAAAGAAAAAUAUUGCAUUUAUUAAAAAAACCCUUUACUAUUCGGAAAUAGAUUAAAAAGCCCAUCAACCUUCGAGUUCGUUCAAGACACUGCUGAUAGAAACC
RNAcentral lists this long non-coding RNA (284 nucleotides) under Mytilus galloprovincialis (Mediterranean mussel). Lineage: Eukaryota; Metazoa; Mollusca; Bivalvia; Mytilida; Mytilidae. The record is from RNAcentral.